Molecule: ribosomal RNA, 184 nt
Filed under: Escherichia coli
Lineage: Bacteria; Pseudomonadati; Pseudomonadota; Gammaproteobacteria; Enterobacterales; Enterobacteriaceae
Also listed under: 3 other names
Description: partial 16S ribosomal RNA
Rfam family: Bacterial small subunit ribosomal RNA
Source: RNAcentral
AAAUUGAAGAGUUUGAUCAUGGCUCAGAUUGAACGCUGGCGGCAGGCCUAACACAUGCAAGUCGAACGGUAACAGGAAGCAGCUUGCUGCUUUGCUGACGAGUGGCGGACGGGUGAGUAAUGUCUGGGAAACUGCCUGAUGGAGGGGGAUAACUACUGGAAACGGUAGCUAAUACCGCAUAACG